Molecule: long non-coding RNA, 165 nt
Organism: Phyllostomus discolor (pale spear-nosed bat)
Lineage: Eukaryota; Metazoa; Chordata; Mammalia; Chiroptera; Phyllostomidae
Exons: 3
Source: RefSeq, a predicted model, not a curated record
CUGUGACCCUAUCUGUGGCCCUAAAGUAAAUUGCUUGAGGAAAUUGGGUCCCAACAAUUACAGGUGGGGAAUUUCUGAAGUAUGACCACAUUCAAGUGGAGGUCAAAGGAGCUCAACUAAAAGAGUUGUGGACUGACUGACAUAAAAACUGGAUUGAGCAAAAAU